CCUACGGGUGGCUGCAGUGGGGAAUAUUGGACAAUGGGCGAAAGCCUGAUCCAGCCAUGCCGCGUGUGUGAAGAAGGCCUUCGGGUUGUAAAGCACUUUCAGUGGGGAAGAAAGUCUUGGGGCUAAUACCCUCGAGGAAGGACAUCACCCACAGAAGAAGCACCGGCUAACUCCGUGCCAGCAGCCGCGGUAAUACGGAGGGUGCGAGCGUUAAUCGGAAUUACUGGGCGUAAAGCGCGCGUAGGCGGUCUGAUAAGCCGGUUGUGAAAGCCCCGGGCUCAACCUGGGAACGGCAUCCGGAACUGUCAGGCUAGAGUGCAGGAGAGGAAGGUAGAAUUCCCGGUGUAGCGGUGAAAUGCGUAGAGAUCGGGAGGAAUACCAGUGGCGAAGGCGGCCUUCUGGACUGACACUGACGCUGAGGUGCGAAAGCGUGGGUAGCAAACAGGAUUAGAUACCCUUGUAGUC
This 465-nucleotide ribosomal RNA is filed under the name Vreelandella stevensii. RNAcentral's name for it is "partial 16S ribosomal RNA". It matches the Rfam family "Bacterial small subunit ribosomal RNA", at positions 338 to 795 of the family's 1533-position model. Lineage: Bacteria; Pseudomonadati; Pseudomonadota; Gammaproteobacteria; Oceanospirillales; Halomonadaceae. The record is from RNAcentral.